Molecule: transfer RNA, 58 nt
Filed under: Chrysis corusca
Lineage: Eukaryota; Metazoa; Arthropoda; Insecta; Hymenoptera; Chrysididae
Description: tRNA-Arg
Source: RNAcentral
UAAUUGAAGUAAAUUAUACGUUCAAUUUCGGCUUGAGAAAAAGGUAUUUUACCCAAUU